AACAAUAAUAACACUUGAAAAUUUUGAGAUUUAACCCUAGUCCAGGAGAUUUCUACUGAUCAAGAGGACGGUAUCAAGAUUGGGAAGGUUGAUGCCCAUUAGCAGUACUCUGGGAUGGAGUUUCCAUUGUAGAGACUGAGUCGCUACUGUUAUCGUCAUUAAAAUUAGCAGGAUCUGCAUAAGACUGGUACCCAGGAAACCUACUUACUUUUACUUGCUCUCCAUUUAUACCCAUUUUAACAUCAAAGAUGUUUCCUCCAAAAAUAGUCUUGUCUGAAAAGUACUUGGACAUUAAGUAUCUCCUAGCCUCAACUUCAUACCUCUUGAACUUCUCAUCCUGUUCAGUCUCCAUAUGAUCAAGAGGAUCUUCAAUCACUUCCUCCUUCUUCACAGCUUCAAGAACAGUGAGGUUUGAGACCUCCUGAUGCGGUUGCGACGGAGGCGGAGGCCGGGGAGAUUGAGGAGCAGAGGAUAUAGGGGAGUUCGACACAGAAUUUGCCGCCG
RNAcentral lists this unclassified non-coding RNA (504 nucleotides) under Hevea brasiliensis (rubber tree). Lineage: Eukaryota; Viridiplantae; Streptophyta; Magnoliopsida; Malpighiales; Euphorbiaceae. The record is from RNAcentral.